CCUACGGGAGGCAGCAGUGGGGAAUUUUGGACAAUGGGGGAAACCCUGAUCCAGCAAUGCCGCGUGUGUGAAGAAGGCCUUCGGGUUGUAAAGCACUUUUAUUCGGAGAGAAAUCCCUUGGGCUAAUACCCUGAGGGUCUGACGGUACCGGAUGAAUAAGCGCCGGCUAACUACGUGCCAGCAGCCGCGGUAAUACGUAGGGCGCGAGCGUUAAUCGGAAUUACUGGGCGUAAAGCGUGCGCAGGCGGUUUUGUAAGACAGAUGUGAAAGCCCCGGGCUCAACCUGGGAAUUGCAUUUGUGACUGCAAGGCUAGAGUGUGUCAGAGGGAGGUGGAAUUCCGCGUGUAGCAGUGAAAUGCGUAGAGAUGCGGAGGAACACCGAUGGCGAAGGCAGCCUCCUGGGAUAACACUGACGCUCAUGCACGAAAGCGUGGGGAGCAAACAGGAUUAGAUACCCUGGUAGUCCACGCCCUAAACGAUGUACAACUAGUUGUCGGGUAAUUUAAAUUUCUUAGGUAACGCAGCUACGUCGUGUAGUAGACCGCCGUGGGAGGACGGCCGCGUAAGUUAAACGUUACGAAGUAAGUUAGAGGCGNGAGAGNGCGACGGACGACGACGAGGGAGGAGG
RNAcentral lists this ribosomal RNA (628 nucleotides) under uncultured bacterium. RNAcentral describes it as "bacterial SSU rRNA". The stretch from base 1 to 546 matches the Rfam family "Bacterial small subunit ribosomal RNA", at positions 338 to 873 of the family's 1533-position model. The record is from RNAcentral.